Molecule: non-coding RNA, 72 nt
Organism: Pelobates cultripes (western spadefoot toad)
Lineage: Eukaryota; Metazoa; Chordata; Amphibia; Anura; Pelobatidae
Source: the annotation of a GenBank genome assembly
GAAGGGAACACUCCAAACACCAUAACCACUACAGUUUGCUGUAGUGGUUAUGGUGCCAGUAGUGCCCUUUUG